Molecule: unclassified non-coding RNA, 335 nt
Filed under: soil metagenome
Description: partial contains 5.8S ribosomal RNA, internal transcribed spacer 2, and large subunit ribosomal RNA
Rfam family: 5.8S ribosomal RNA (bases 1-120)
Source: RNAcentral
GAUGAAGAACGUAGCGAAACGCGAUAGGUAAUGUGAAUUGCAGAAUUCAGUGAAUCAUCGAAUCUUUGAACGCACAUUGCGCCCGCCAGUAUUCUGGCGGGCAUGCCUGUUCGAGCGUCAUUUCAACCAUCAAGCCCCCGGCUUGUGUUGGGGACCUGCGGCUGCCGCAGGCCCUGAAAACCAGUGGCGGGCUCGCUAGUCACUCCGAGCGUAGUAAUACAUCUCGCUCAGGGCGUGCUGCGGGUUCCGGCCGUUAAAAAGCCUUAUUUACCCAAGGUUGACCUCGGAUCAGGUAGGAAGACCCGCUGAACUUAAGCAUAUCAAUAAGCGGAGGA